AUGCAAWCCGACUYACUCUUCACUGUGUUGCAGGGACCAAUCUCUGUGCUAGCAUGCUCUGCKGAGAGCCACCUUGACCUCGCCUUGACAGCAGUCCAAGAGUUUGAUGCUGCUGGGCAGGAAAGCAGACUUUCUAGGGUCCUCACCUUCCGGGAGGAGAACCAAAAGGCGAAAAGAGCAAAGAUGUGCGCUCCUCUCAUGCUAGCCUACAGCCAGAUAGCUCUGCACGCUCCCAAACACCUGCUUUGUUCCCGAGUCGAGACGGUCAUCGUGGAAAACAUCCUGCGCCAGUACAGGAGCAGCCCUCAGGACGUAGAGCUCAAGCUGGCCCUCAUCCAGAGYGUCACAGAAGUCAGCUGUGCCAUUCGAGGUGCCAGCAACGCGAAGAGCUUUAAUUYCUCUGCCAAAAGGGUGCUGCUUG
This 421-nucleotide long non-coding RNA is filed under the name Apteryx rowi (Okarito brown kiwi). RNAcentral describes it as "lncRNA (ENSARWG00000016975.1)". Lineage: Eukaryota; Metazoa; Chordata; Aves; Apterygiformes; Apterygidae. The record is from RNAcentral.